Molecule: ribosomal RNA, 427 nt
Filed under: uncultured bacterium
Lineage: Bacteria
Description: bacterial SSU rRNA
Rfam family: Bacterial small subunit ribosomal RNA
Source: RNAcentral
UGGGGAAUCUUGCGCAAUGGACGAAAGUCUGACGCAGCCACGCCGCGUGAGUGAAGAAGGCCUUCGGGUUGUAAAGCUCUGUCACCUGGGACGAAAACCCCAGAGGUUAACAGCCUCUGGGCUUGACGGUACCAGGGGAGGAAGCACCGGCUAACCUCGUGCCAGCAGCCGCGGUAAUACGAGGGGUGCAAGCGUUGCUCGGAAUUAUUGGGCGUAAAGGGUUGGUAGGUGGUCUUGUUUGUCUAAGGUGAAAUCCCAUGGCUUAACUGUGGAAGUGCCUUAGAAACGGCAAGACUAGAGUCCUAGAGGGGUUUGUGGUAUUCCCGGUGUAGCGGUGAAAUGCGUAGAGAUCGGGAGGAACACCAGCGGCGAAGGCGGCAAACUGGAUAGGAACUGACACUCAACAACGAAAGCGUGGGGAGCAAAC